CGUGCGGAGAGGCGCCCCUCCGGCAGGACCGCCGGCUCAGCUCACCUCUGAACACUCCGACGCGGCAGCCCGGACCGCCUCUCACACCCCUCAGGCAGGAGGAGCCUUUGCGUGCGGCGCGACGGCCUUCCGGCAGUCCUGCCGGCCCAGCUCCCUCUGCGUGCCGCGCGUCGUCCCUCCGGCAGGACCGCUGGCCUAUCUCCCCUCUGAUUUUCUAACGACUCUCUCGGGCUGUGUCCCCCUUCUCGUGCCCAGCUCCCCUCCCGUUCCGGACAAGACGCAUCUGCCUUCGGUGGGAAGGUCGGAUUCGAUCGGUUCCACCGGAAUCGGACCGCCAGCUGAUGUCCGGAGGUGCUCCGUGGCUGGAUUCCCUCUGGUGGGCACUCCGUCCUCAGCCAUGGGAUGCACGCCACUGCUGCCCAUCCCGACUGGGCGGAGGCUCCCUUUUCCUGCAGGUGCUGCCCCGCUGAUUUAGUGCUCAGAAAAUUUUGUUGGCUGUUGAUUUGCUGCCAAGGACGGCAAACUCGACUAUGGCGACGCCAUCUGUGGACUUCAAGGUGCCUAAUUGAUGUUUGGCGUUCCCUCUUCUAAUAACGUUCGUGACGUUCCACUUCCUCUCCCCACAAUCUCGAGAGAAACUGAUGGAUUUUUGCCCUAUAAAGUCUACUACACCUAAGUACCUCACCUCAUUUUAUAUCAUCGUCCUCCAGUACGGGUGGGUCUCUCCCAGAAUUCUCAUACUGCAGCCGGUGAGAAACUCGCUCCGAUCUCCUCUAUAUUCUGUAUGCCAUAUUACUGCUUUCCAUCACAAAUUUGCACUUUGUCAGGUUGUGCGUGCUUGACGACACCCCGGUAGCUAUCUUCGUUUGUCUUCCCUCACUGCAUACACAAACGAAUUCGAUUUCUACCUCCUACUGGUACAUAUUAUUUCUUAUUUUCAUACCAAUUUUGCUGAGCUUCCAUUGUAACCCAGAAAUGUUAUCAUCAGGGACACCUUUUAUUUCAUGCAAAUAUUAUAAACCAGACACAUGACUUAAAAUUUCCUAUAAAUAUUACCUAAUUUAUGCAGCUCAAACUGUGCCAGUGUUUUAAAAAUGUCAGACCAUUUUUGGUUGAAGGCCUGGGCACUCUGCCUCCGAAUAAGUGGUGCCUACAUGAUGAAAUUUUUUGCUUGGCCAAACUAGCCUUGUGGGUGAACGUUUCGUUCUUGACCUUGCUUGCUGCUAUGUCGUUCAGUGAGGCCAAUCAACGUAUUUACAUUUUCUUUCCAAGUAAGCCAUCCAAACAAUCACCACGCCCAAAUCUUACAUGCAUGUGCUAUAUUAAUACAUACAGUAACUGCUUAAUUUACUGGUGAUUAGAAUCACAAUAUAAAUACCAUUUAUGACUUUCUAUACAGUCACUGCUAUUUUUUUAAUACCAUUCACUGCUAAAUUAGUUUUUUUUGCGGGGCACUGCUAAAUUAGUUGUGUAUUAAUAAUUCUUAAAACAACAUCGCUUGGUUACAAUUUUUUUUCUGCCCCACAUCUAUAUAUAACAGCACCCGUAGCAUUCUAUCUGUAGAAGUUCAUCUUCCCUACACCUAAAUAUUGACUUUUACAAACUACAUGGACAACCAGCAGGAAGGCAACAGGUACAACUAUUACAUACAAAGUAGUUUUCUCGGUUCCUCCUACGAAAUUAACACCAUGCAUACCUAUUUUCCUAUAGUAUGCGAUCUCAUGCACCAAGAAAAGUUUUGCCACCUUCAUCAACGCAACAAACAAGAGAAAGACACAAAGACUACAUAGCGGCUGUUACAAAGAUGAAGAAUGCUACAAAAACGCCAACAACCAGCAUAUCAUUUCUUUUUUCUUUUUCUUUUGCGAGUAACCAGCAUCUCAUUUCAACACGACACCACAAAGGAUCAUCCAUCCAGGGCUGGAAAUACAUCUUUGAGUACAUCAAGAAAGGAAUCCCAGAUGUACAAUUCGUUCACAAGGAAGAAGAUAUUGUGCUAUUUAUCCUAUGA
Molecule: ribosomal RNA, 2011 nt
Filed under: Triticum aestivum (bread wheat)
Lineage: Eukaryota; Viridiplantae; Streptophyta; Magnoliopsida; Poales; Poaceae
Description: partial small subunit ribosomal RNA
Source: RNAcentral